This 1180-nucleotide long non-coding RNA is filed under the name Phasianus colchicus (ring-necked pheasant). RNAcentral describes it as "lncRNA (ENSPCLG00000020383.1)". Lineage: Eukaryota; Metazoa; Chordata; Aves; Galliformes; Phasianidae. The record is from RNAcentral.
GUUUGUGUCUGAAACUGAGCCCAGAGCUCAUGUGAAUGGGAUCUGUUCUCUUUUGAGACUAUCUCAGAUAGCAGUGCUCCCAAAGGAGCAACUUGGUGCUACUUGAAACAGCGCUCCCUCCCUCCCAAUGAAGCUUUUUAUCCCAGAUGACUUCAGUCAUGGUCAUGUGAAAUGUUUUCUUCUAACAGGAAGCAGCUCGACCUGAAUACAGGGCUCAGUAUUUGUGAACUUUGACUUUUUGCAAAAGUUUCAAAUAUACACAAAUUUAGAACAUCCAUAUGCUCAAGAAGCUGGCAAAUUCCACCUCAUCUCCAACAACAGGAAGAGAAGGAAAGAUAAAAAAGGCUGGGAAGAGUACAUCUGGUGCUGGGAUCACAAUCUAGUGCAAACCUCAGCCAGCCAGCAAAGCAGUCUCAGGAACUAAGAUAUACCAGUUGUGCGGCAUUAAUCCAGAACUCUUUUACGAACAAUUUUGCUACGCUUAUUGAUGGAACAGAAUACAAAUGAGUGUGAAUAUUGCCUCAUGACUGGAAUGACUAACAACUUCCCUAUUUAAUUAAGCCGUUUGAGAUUUGCAUUUGUGCUCACUGAAGCCAUCUCUCUUCUCUCCUGUGUUAUCAUGGCUGCACCUCAGCUCAGAGGAAAAGCUACUCUGUGCAGGAAGACAAAACAGCAAAUUACAUAUUGCCACCCCCUUCCAGGGAAAGGCUGUGAAGUCUCCAUCCUCAGAAACCCAAAUCAACGAAGGCUUGGGCACUCUGACUGACUGCGCCUGGAUAAGAGGGGUAGGACUAGAUGAUUUCCGGAGUUCCCACUGAGUCUCAACUACUCUGUGAGAAAACGAACAGGUACUAACAAAGAAAGAGUGUAUUGAUCUUCCUAAUACACAUUAGAUCGCAAGUUAAUGACCUAAUACGCUAUUUCCCUGUAUAGGAAAAUAUGAAGUGAGGAACUGUGAGAGGAAAGGGAAAAAGGCUGACAAGACAUUCCAUUUUAGAAAUCGUUUACAGUGGUGAGGACUGUUUCCUUCGAAUGCAUAAUAUCCCUGUCUUCAUUAGUUCAUGCUUCAACCUGACAUAAUUUCUCUGAUUUAUAAAAUUACUUGCACUCUUCUGCAUAUCUAGGGUGUGCACAGUGUACUCUGCCUUGCGUUUCUUUCAUCUGUAAGCAAAAUUACAGC